UUCUUCUUGCUCUUGUCUUCUUCUUUUUGUUCUUGUUCUUGUUCUUGUUCUUGUUCUUCUUCUUCUUUUCUUCUCCUCCUCUUCUUCUCCUCUUUUUCUUCUACUUCUCCUCUUCUUCUACUUCUCCUCUUCUUAUAUCUUCCUCUUCUUCUCCUCUCCUCCUCUUCUUAUUAUCCUAUCCCUAACCCUAACAUAAUUCUAAAUAUUACUAACCCUAAUAACCAAGCACUAACCUAAUAAAAAUAGCAAUUAAAUGACAAAAAACAAAAAA
Molecule: long non-coding RNA, 271 nt
Filed under: Hordeum vulgare
Lineage: Eukaryota; Viridiplantae; Streptophyta; Magnoliopsida; Poales; Poaceae
Description: long non-coding RNA (HVUL_LNC008850)
Source: RNAcentral